Mesocricetus auratus (golden hamster) is the source of this 104-nucleotide small nuclear RNA. The record is from Ensembl. NCBI's taxonomy places the organism in Eukaryota, Metazoa, Chordata, Mammalia, Rodentia, Cricetidae.
UCGUUUUGGCAGCACAUACACCGAUAUUGGAAUGAUACAGAGAAGCGUAGCAUGGCCCCUGCACAAGGCUUUAAUUUCCUUUACAUUUAAAAGAUUCUUUUUUU